CAAAACUGGAGUGAUGAGUGAUCUUCAUCAAGCCCUGGGAACUAUCUUCCCAGUGAAUCUGGAAGCGGUCUCUGAUUGUACAGAGUCACUAUGUAUUCCAUCCUCGUGCCUCCCUGGAGUAUAAGUUAUGAUAUAUCAGCAUUGUCUUUGAGGUCUACCAAAUCUGUGGAUAUGCAAUAUGCUGAAGUGUGGAGAUGGAAUGAAGUUGAAAGGAUUCAUGAAUAAAAUGCUCAAGAGACACCUGCAUGCCCUUGCAAGGCAGAUUCGUGUCCAUUUCUUCUGAAGAACAGUAAAAAGUGCCUGAAAAUCAGGGUCUCCCAUGAGAGGAUGGUCUGAUGGAGACAUCAAUGCCUGCGAGGUUGGCUCCAAGGGCAGUGCCACGGAGGAGAGAGCUGAGGGACAUCUCUCUCUGUUGCUGCCACCCUGUUCAUCUAGACUGCAAACUGAGGCAACUCUCUCCUAUCGUGCUGUUCUACAAAACAAGAUCCCUGUCUCAGGUCUUCAGGGCUUCAGCUGCCCCAGAAAGUGGAACAAAAAAGCUCACUGGAAACACUGAAAGAGAGGACUGGAGGAGAGAGAUGAAAGGAGAUGAGUAG
This 596-nucleotide long non-coding RNA is filed under the name Serinus canaria (Common canary). Its description in RNAcentral is "lncRNA (ENSSCAG00000013858.1)". The record is from RNAcentral. Lineage: Eukaryota; Metazoa; Chordata; Aves; Passeriformes; Fringillidae.